GACGAACGCUGGCGGCGUGCUUAACACAUGCAAGUCGAACGGAAAGGCCCCUUUGGGGGUACUCGAGUGGCGCACGGGUGAGUAACACGUGAGUAACCUGCCCUUGACUUCGGGAUAACUUCAGGAAACUGGGGCUAAUACCGGAUAGGAAUCCUUGCUGCAUGGUGGGGGUUGGAAAGCUUCGGCGGUUUUGGAUGGACUCGCGGCUUAUCAGCUUGUUGGUGGGGUAGUGGCUUACCAAGGCUUUGACGGGUAGCCGGCCUGAGAGGGCGACCGGCCACAUUGGGUCUGAGAGACGGCCCAGACUCCUACGGGAGGCAGCAGUGGGGAAUAUUGCACAAUGGGCGGAAGCCUGAUGCAGCAACGCCGCGUGCGGGAUGACGGCCUUCGGGUUGUAAACCGCUUUCAGCAGGGGCGAAGCUUGUGGUGACGGUACCUGCAGAAGAAGCACCGGCUAACUACGUG
Molecule: ribosomal RNA, 465 nt
Filed under: uncultured bacterium
Lineage: Bacteria
Description: partial 16S ribosomal RNA
Rfam family: Bacterial small subunit ribosomal RNA
Source: RNAcentral